RNAcentral lists this ribosomal RNA (706 nucleotides) under Herbaspirillum sp. Its description in RNAcentral is "bacterial SSU rRNA". It matches the Rfam family "Bacterial small subunit ribosomal RNA", at positions 68 to 766 of the family's 1533-position model. Lineage: Bacteria; Pseudomonadati; Pseudomonadota; Betaproteobacteria; Burkholderiales; Oxalobacteraceae. The record is from RNAcentral.
GCAGCAUAGGAGCUUGCUCCUGAAUGNCGAGUGGCGAACGGGUGAGUAAUAUAUCGGAACGUGCCCUAGAGUGGGGGAUAACUAGUCGAAAGAUUAGCUAAUACCGCAUACGAUCUACGGAUGAAAGUGGGGGAUCGCAAGACCUCAUGCUCCUGGAGCGGCCGAUAUCUGAUUAGCUAGUUGGUGAGGUAAAAGCUCACCAAGGCGACGAUCAGUAGCUGGUCUGAGAGGACGACCAGCCACACUGGGACUGAGACACGGCCCAGACUCCUACGGGAGGCAGCAGUGGGGAAUUUUGGACAAUGGGGGCAACCCUGAUCCAGCAAUGCCGCGUGAGUGAAGAAGGCCUUCGGGUUGUAAAGCUCUUUUGUCAGGGAAGAAACGGUUGAGGCUAAUAUCCUCGGCUAAUGACGGUACCUGAAGAAUAAGCACCGGCUAACUACGUGCCAGCAGCCGCGGUAAUACGUAGGGUGCAAGCGUUAAUCGGAAUUACUGGGCGUAAAGCGUGCGCAGGCGGUUGUGUAAGUCAGAUGUGAAAUCCCCGGGCUCAACCUGGGAAUUGCAUUUGAGACUGCACGGCUAGAGUGUGUCAGAGGGGGGUAGAAUUCCACGUGUAGCAGUGAAAUGCGUAUAUAUGUGGAGGAAUACCGAUGGCGAAGGCAGCCCCCCUGGGAUAACACUGACNCUCAUGCACNAAAGCGUGGGG